CCUCUUCUUAUACACCCAUCCUGCCACUUCCCUCCUCCUUUCUUGUUACCACUCUUUCUUUCUUUCUUUCUUUCUCUCUCUUUCACACACACACACCCACACCCCACAAUUCUCUCACAAUUAGGAAUAUAUAUCUAUUCAGCACUACUAUUAUUUGCAGCCUUUCUGUCCCCAGUCCUCUUUCUUUGCUAGCAAGCUAUUUCCUGUGUGAAGCUGGGCUCUUUUGCACUCAGCCGUUUGUUUAGUUGCUUUUGUGUAAUUGUUGUCCAAAAACCCAGAUUUGCUGAAGUCUUGAAAUUAAAGCACCAGGGAAGAAGUCAUAUAAAGGAGGAGGAAAAAAUUUCCUUUGGAUGCUCCUGUCCCUUGCCUCUCCUAGGGGAUGCCCCAAUUCACCUUGGCUUGCUUCUGUGGGCUCCAUGGCUUCUGCAAGAUGAAAAGGAAACAUGAAAAGUCCAGUUCUGAUCAAGAAACUGCUGUUUGAAAAGAGAAGGCGUUCUUUUCGGGGUUCACUUAAAUGUGAAUUGGAAAAGCAUGCUUACUGCAAUAACUUGAUUAUGGAGGUGGAGGAGAAAUGACUCAAUAUGAAUGAACAAACAUUACAAAGGAACAUACAAAAUCUAUCUGGGGAAAUGACCAUUCUACAAUUUCCUAGUUUGAAUUACAUUAACCUUUAGAGACUCUAGUCUAGAUAUUCAUGAUUUUUUUUAAAGUUCAAUUAAUUUAUUGAGAUACAUUAGCCAUGUGUUAUAAGUAUUGGACAACAAGCCAGCUGGGUAACCUUGGGUCAGUCACUCUCUUUUAGCCCAAACCACCUCACAGGGUAGUUGUUGUUGUGGGAAAAAUAGGAGGAGGAAAGAGUAUUUUAAGUAUGUCCACUGCCUUGAGUUACUUAUGAAGUAGUAAAGGCGGGAUAAAAGUUAUUAAUAAAUAAAUAAACUCCCUUUCUGGCUCGGACUCUGAAGACACGUGGAUGAAGCAGGUUAGGGAAAAAUACUGUAUAGAUGUGUUUAACUAUUUUGUAAGAGAAGAUCGUUUAAUAGUAUCAGACUGUAUCCUUAGUUGGAUUUAAACCAAAUACAGAAUAUUGCUCACAUCUAGAAUCAUAAAGAUGGAAUAGAUCAUUUAGGCUGUUGUCCGUCUUCCCUGGUAAUCAAGGUUGAGGUUUGCUUAAGAAGAAAGGCCUGCAUUAGGUUAUAAGGGAACACAUUUAAGGCUUGUUUGACAACACUGCAGAACAUUCAUAUGUUUGUACUGGCUUAUUUUAAUGACAGUUUUGGCAAACAUUUUGAUAUAUAAAAUCUGGUAGAUAUUCCUCUUAUAAUCAAAACAUGUGCAGCCCAUUUCAGUCACUGAAUGCAAACAAGAAAGGUGGCAGUUUUCAUUAUAAUUAAGAUACUACCCAAUUCCUCGUAUGUAUAAAACUGUAAAUACCCUGAACUUCAUAGUUUGAACAUAGUUUGAAAAAUUGUAGGUUUGGGUUCAUAUUUCUCUUUUAAAAUGCUGCUUUUGUGUUAAAUAAAGCAUUUUUCUCUAAUCAUAGCACAACAAUUUGGAUGAAAAGGAAGCAAAAAACCCCUCUAUUUUUGUAAAGGAAGGAAAGAGUCGAACUCAAGUCCUUUUUUUUUUUAUAGCAGAAAUGGACAAAGAAACAUGCAGUUAAGGCAGUGUGGGAACAGUUGUCUAUACAACAUGUAUGACAUAGUCCUAUUUUCUCCAUUGCUUACCAUGCAUUUCUUGUUGGAGAAUCAUUUCCUGUCAGAAAAGUAAGAACCUUUUUUAGGACUUCUUGAAGUUUACAAAGCAGGUAGAAAUCCCAUUGAACACUACGGAAUCUUCUCCCUCCUGAGAGUUGUUUCUGCCAAGAAAAUACAUUGCACUGUUUUAACAAGUUUGUGUGGGUUGAUGUAAGUAUAGAAGACAUGCACGAAGUAUGGAAAUUAAGACUGGAAAGAAAAGCCAUUCAAAUUCCUUGUUGCAAACUCUUCUUGAAGAUUACACAAUGAAAACUAUACGAAAUUACAUGUGACCAUUUUCCCUGGUAUUCCAUAUUCUGUUGGCAUGACUAAUGCAGGAAUUUUAAGCUGUGUAACAGGAAUGAAGUUAAUCCAAUAAUUCUAGUACUGCCAAUUUUGUAAUUUAAAAGUUAAUAUAUAUCAAGUUUAUUACAACCUGUACAAUUAUUGAAUUCCAGGAUUAUUCUAGGUAGAAAAGAUCAUUUAACAACAUUAUUACCACAGAUACAUUUGGGGUUUUAUUUUUAAUAUUUCUGCUCAGUAAUUAUUUCUGGAUUAGUUAUUGUUUUUGGGGAGAAAUGAGUUAAACUGGAAUUUAAAUGUUUUAAUUAUAUGAUUACUCGGGAUAUUGCUCUCAAAACACAAAAAUCAAGGAAUCAAAUAUUUCUUGUUCUAAUUGUACUGACAAACAACACUGUUUAAAAUGAAGUGCCUGGGUGAUCAAUUACUAUAUAAAAUUAUUAAAAAUUCAAGCUUUCAAAAAAAGAUUGGCUGACAUUUAUCUGAACAUUCAAAGUAUAACAAAUUUUCAAUUCUCAAACAUUGGAAAUUAUAAGUUUUUGCUAAUGCAUUUAUUAAAAUUAUAUUAUCAGUUUUUUUGUUAAGAAAAAAUAAGAUAGGGCCAAAUCUUGCAAUACUAUAGAAGCCAAUAGACCUUAUAUAUGCAGUAUGCAAAAUUAUAUGCUGUAAUGUUUUUACAUUUGUGAUAUAUGAAAUUAUUGAUAAUCUAAAUCUAUUUAUUGAAUGUAUAUGCAGUUAGUUUGCACAAUCAAGUGUAUGGGUAACUAAAUGAUACACUUACAUAGACAUAUUACUAAUAACUUAAUCUAUGAACUAUUGGUAAAUUUUCUAGUUAUUUACAUAUAGAUGCAAUCUAAAUUUUACCUGAAUUAAUUAUGCUGGUAGCUUCUUGAAAUUCACCAUUUCACAUUGAUUUGAAGAUCUGCUAUGUCCCCAGAAAUAAUUAAAUUUAACUUAGAAGUGGGUCUGAAUCAAACCAAAGGUGUGUAUGUGUGUGUGUGUGUGUGUGGUGUCUUUGUGCAUGUAUGUGUAUGUGUGUGUGUGCGUAAAUAUAUACACAAACAUACACACACAUAAAUAUCCAUGCACAUACAGAGCAUGCAUGCAUGACAAGGCAGUUGUUCUCAGGGAAAGAAACAAGACAUAUGUUGAAAUGCUUUGUCAACCAUAUGAAAGCAAGGUCUCUCUCUCUCCUGCCUCCCCUUUGAGAAUCUGCUCAGUACAUAUGUAGGCAACUUAUCUCUUCUGUACCUCUAACCACAUCUUUCUUGUGGGAGUAAUAAUAUUGACAGCUUUGAAGAUAAUAGUGAUAUUGUUUGUAUUUAGGACUGAAAAUAAUAUAUAAAAAGAUAAAUGUCACUAAGCACAACUUUAAAUCCAACUUUUACAGAAAUGUGCCUCCUAGCAUUUGCUAGAGGGAGUAAUUAUAAUGGUCCAUAUUACAAUUUUAGAAUACUAUAACAAAUUGUAAAAUUUAAAGUUGUGUCUUUACAGUAGACUAGAUAUCAACAUACCCUAUGUCAGUGCUUUUUUUCUUAAAAAAAAAAAAAAAAAAAGGUGCCGGAACUCACACGUCAUACAACCUGCCUUGCCUACCCUACAAGGUUCCAUCCAAAAAAGGUGCUGGAACUCCGUUCUGGACGUUCUAUGAGAAAAAAAGCCCUGCCCUAUGUAAAUAUUUUGGAUUAAUUGAUUACACCGAGCAACUGACACACCCAAAAUGUGUUAGAAUUCUUGGAACAUUUCACAGUGGUUAUUUAUUUAUUUGUUCAGCUUAUGUGCCACCCAUCUUGCCUGAAGGCGGCUUUAGAUGGCCUAAGGUCAUUAAAAUCAGUGAAAAGAUUAAAACAGUAAAUAAUAUUAAAUUAGUUUAAAAUUGAUAAAGAUGAGGAUGAAGGGAGCAAGGAUGGGGAUGGGGUCUUAUCAAGUCCAUUAACUACUACCAGAAUAAUAUGCCCCUAUUGUGGCCCCAGGCCAGGUCUUCUAGCACUUUUGGAAGGCCAAUUUGCCUUCCAAAUCUGCCAGCAUAGGUGGGGAAGGCCAAUCCCAUUGAGAUGAGAUGAUUCAUUAGAUAGCUUGGACUUCUGCCAUGAAGGGCUUUAAAGGUGAUAACCAACAUCUUAAAUUGGAUCUGGAAGCAAACUGGCAAUCACUGUACCUUGUAAAACACGGUGUAACAUAGGCCACCCUAUGUCCGCUGUCUGCGCAGCUGCAUUCUGUGCCAGCUAAAGCUUCUGAAAACUCUUCAAGGGUAGUCCCAUGUAGACUGUGUUGCAAUAGUCCAAGCAUAAGAUGAGUGACUGAGUUCAGGGACUCCCAGUCCAGGAAGAGUGCACAAAAUUGUGCAAAGAUUCUCCUAGCCAUAACUGUCACCUGCUCUGAAUAGUAGUCAGAGGUUCAGGAGAAUAUCCAAGUGGUGUACUGGGUCUGUCUUGGGUAAGGCAACCCUAUCCAGAAUUAAAGAUGUUGAAGUCCUGACUCCAUGCAGCCAAAAUCAAUUGAUCUUACCCGGGAUUCAGUUGAAGCUUGUUGUAUCCCAUCCAGAUGCCUGCAGCCUCCAGAUACCAUGAGAGGGCAGCAACAGCAUCACUUGGGUCAUCAGGGAUGGAGAUGUAAAUUGAGUCUCAUCAGCAUACUGAUGGUAUCUCAUCCUGUGGUGGUGGAUGAGCACCACCAGCAAUUUCAUGAAGGUGUUAAAAAGGAGUAGACAGAGUACUGAACCCUAUGGCACACCAUAAGUGAGUGGCCAUAGACUGGACCUCUCACUUCUUACUGAUACUGAUAAUACUAAUAAUACUAAUAAUGUUGGAAAGGACCUUGGAGGUCAUCUAGUCCAACCCCCUGCUCAGGUAGGAAAUCCUAUACCAUUUCAGACAAAUGGCUGUCCAGUCUCUUCUUAAAA
Long non-coding RNA from Crotalus tigris (Tiger rattlesnake), 4935 nucleotides. RefSeq lists it as uncharacterized. The transcript is spliced from 4 exons. NCBI's taxonomy places the organism in Eukaryota, Metazoa, Chordata, Lepidosauria, Squamata, Viperidae. The record is from RefSeq and is a predicted model, not a curated record.